CCUACGGGGGGCAGCAGUGAGGAAUAUUGGUCAAUGGACGAGAGUCUGAACCAGCCAAGUAGCGUGAAGGAUGACUGCCCUAUGGGUUGUAAACUUCUUUUAUAUGGGAAUAAAAUGUUCCACGUGUGGGAUUUUGUAUGUACCAUAUGAAUAAGGUUCGGCUAACUCCGUGCCAGCAGCCGCGGGAAUACGGAGGAUCCGAGCGUUAUCCGGAUUUAUUGGGUUUAAAGGGAGCGUAGGUGGAUUGUUAAGUCAGUUGUGAAAGUUUGCGGCUCAACCGUAAAAUUGCAGUUGAAACUGGCAGUCUUGAGUACAGUAGAGGUAGGCGGAAUUCGUGGUGUAGCGGUGAAAUGCUUAGAUAUCACGAAGAACACCGAUGGCGAAGGCAGUUCACUGGACUGCAACUGACACUGAGGCUCGAAAGUGUGGGUAUCAAACAGGAUUAGAUACCCUGGUAGUC
This 460-nucleotide ribosomal RNA is filed under the name uncultured bacterium. RNAcentral's name for it is "partial 16S ribosomal RNA". It matches the Rfam family "Bacterial small subunit ribosomal RNA", at positions 338 to 795 of the family's 1533-position model. The record is from RNAcentral.